AUUGAACGCUGGCGGCAGGCCUAACACAUGCAAGUCGAACGGUAACAGGAAGCAGCUUGCUGCUUCGCUGACGAGUGGCGGACGGGUGAGUAAUGUCUGGGAAACUGCCUGAUGGAGGGGGAUAACUACUGGAAACGGUAGCUAAUACCGCAUAACGUCGCAAGACCAAAGAGGGGGACCUUAGGGCCUCUUGCCAUCGGAUGUGCCCAGAUGGGAUUAGCUAGUAGGUGGGGUAACGGCUCACCUAGGCGACGAUCCCUAGCUGGUCUGAAAGGAUGACCAGCCACACUGGAACUGAGACACGGUCCAGACUCCUACGGGAGGCAGCAGUGGGGAAUAUUGCACAAUGGGCGCAAGCCUGAUGCAGCCAUGCCGCGUGUAUGAAGAAGGCCUUCGGGUUGUAAAGUACUUUCAGCGGGGAGGAAGGGAGUAAAGUUAAUACCUUUGCUCAUUGACGUUACCCGCAGAAGAAGCACCGGCUAACUCCGUG
This 490-nucleotide ribosomal RNA is filed under the name uncultured bacterium. RNAcentral's name for it is "partial 16S ribosomal RNA". It matches the Rfam family "Bacterial small subunit ribosomal RNA", at positions 30 to 507 of the family's 1533-position model. The record is from RNAcentral.